CCUGGUGGCUCAGAUGGUAAAGCGUCUGCCUGCAAUGCGGGAGACCCGGGUUCAAUCCCUGGGUCAGGA
This is a non-coding RNA of Bos taurus (domestic cattle), 69 nucleotides long. NCBI's taxonomy places the organism in Eukaryota, Metazoa, Chordata, Mammalia, Artiodactyla, Bovidae. The record is from Rfam.